This 480-nucleotide ribosomal RNA is filed under the name Peniophora sp. 1OT1. Its description in RNAcentral is "eukaryotic LSU rRNA". The stretch from base 98 to 251 matches the Rfam family "5.8S ribosomal RNA". Lineage: Eukaryota; Fungi; Basidiomycota; Agaricomycetes; Russulales; Peniophoraceae. The record is from RNAcentral.
AGUGUGUGAGCCGAAGAGAAAUCUGAGGCUCGCAUGCUACCCUUAACAUACCCCAAUGAAGUAUCAGAAUGUACCUUGCGUUAACUCGCACAAAUAUAACUUUCAACAACGGAUCUCUUGGCUCUCGCAUCGAUGAAGAACGCAGCGAAAUGCGAUAAGUAAUGUGAAUUGCAGAAUUCAGUGAAUCAUCGAAUCUUUGAACGCACCUUGCGCCCCUUGGCAUUCCGAGGGGCACGCCUGUUUGAGUGUCGUGAACUCCUCCACCCUCUACCUUUUUCGAAAGGCAUUGGGCUGGGAUUUGGGAGCUUGCGGGUCCCUGGCCGAUCCGCUCUCCUUGAAUACAUUAGCGAAGCCCUUUGCGGCCUUGGUGUGAUAAUUAUCUGCGCCUUGGCUUAGCGAAUCUAUAGGGACUUGCUUCCAACCGUCUCGCAAGGGACAACGACUACCAACUUGACCUCAAAUCAGGCGGGACUACCCGCU